RNAcentral lists this ribosomal RNA (458 nucleotides) under uncultured bacterium. RNAcentral describes it as "partial 16S ribosomal RNA". It matches the Rfam family "Bacterial small subunit ribosomal RNA", at positions 338 to 795 of the family's 1533-position model. The record is from RNAcentral.
CCUACGGGCGGCAGCAGUGAGGAAUAGUGGUCAAGGGGCGAGAGCCUGAACCAGCCAAGUCGCGUGAGGGAGUACUGCCCUAUGGGUUGUAAACCUCUUUUGUCGGGGAGCAAAAGCCGGACGUGGCCGGCUGUGAGAGUACCCGAAGAAAAAGCAGCGGCUAACUCCGGGCCAGCAGCCGCGGUAAUACGGCGGAUGCGAGCGUUAUCCGGAUUUAGUGGGUUUCAAGGGGGCGCAGGCGGAUUUUUAAGGCAGCGGUCAAAUCGUGGGGCUCAACCCCAUCCCGCCGUUGCAACUGGGGCUCUCGUGUGUGCGAGAGGUCUGCGGCAUGCGUGGUGUCGCUGUGAAAUGCCUAGCUAUCACGCAGCACCCCGAUUGCGACGGCAGCAUACCGGUGCACACCUGACGCUCCGGCACGAAAGCGUGUGUAUCGAACAGGAUUAGAUACCCGAGUAGUC